Molecule: ribosomal RNA, 477 nt
Filed under: uncultured bacterium
Lineage: Bacteria
Description: partial 16S ribosomal RNA
Rfam family: Bacterial small subunit ribosomal RNA
Source: RNAcentral
ACUCAAAUGAAUUGACGGGGGCCCGCACAAGCAGCGGAGCGUGUGGUUUAAUUCGACGCAACGCGCACAACCUUACCCAGACUUGACAUGGAGCUGCACGCCGGGGAAACCCGGUCGCCUUCGAGGGUGCUCCACAGAUGCUGCAUGGCUGUCGUCAGCUCGUGUCGUGAGAUGUUGGGUUAAGUCCCGCAACGAGCGCAACCCCCGCGGCCAGUUAUAUGUGUCUGGCCGGACUGCCCUUCGGGGAGGAAGGCGGGGAUGACGUCAAGUCCGCAUGGCUCUUACGUCUGGGGCGACACACACGCUACAAUGGCGCCGACAGUGCGCAGCGACCGUGCGAACGGAAGCGAAUCGCCAAACGGCGCCCCAGUGCAGAUCGGGGGCUGCAACUCGCCCCCGUGAAGGCGGAGUUGCUAGUAACCGCGUAUCAGCCUUGGCGCGGUGAAUACGUACCCGGGCCUUGUACACACCGCCCGU